CCCCUAUGGUUUAUAACCCCUGAGUCUGGGGGUAAUGGCACGGGGACCCACCAGCUUGUCUGCCGCCAUCUGGGGUACAGUGCUGGAAGCGGGGAUACAGGGACAAAUAAGACACAGAUCCUGUUCCUAAAGAGGCUGGAGUGCAAUGGCAUGAUCUCAGCUCACUGCAACCUCUGCCUCCCGGGUUCAAGCAAUUCUCCUGUCUCAGCCUCCUGAGUAGCUGGAUUACAGAGUCUUUUCUAAGGCACCAACUACUUCCUUCAAGCAGCAGCCAGAGAUCUUUGCUUAAUGGCUGAGAAACACAGAGGAGAGACCCAGAGAGAAGGAGAAGGCCGCAUGAAGAUGGAGCAGAGACUGGAGUUAUUCAGCCAAGUCAAGGAAUGCCUGGAGCACCAGAAGCCGGAAGAGGCAAGGAAGGAUCCUCCCUUAGAGCAUUUGGAAGAGUGUGGCCCUGCCAACACCUUGACUUCAAACUUCUGGCCUCCAUAACUAUGAAAUAAAUUCUUGUUGUUUUAAGCCACCAA
Homo sapiens (human) is the source of this 524-nucleotide long non-coding RNA. Ensembl annotates it as long intergenic non-protein coding RNA 1702. NCBI's taxonomy places the organism in Eukaryota, Metazoa, Chordata, Mammalia, Primates, Hominidae. The record is from Ensembl.